UCUUCACUAUCUUUUUAUGUUUUGCUUCAAAAUACAACAAUGGCUAUUGUAAAAUAAUCAAAAGCUUAUUUUUUUAUCUUGAAAUCUCCUUAAUUUAUUUCUAAUUUUCGUAUGGGAUUGCUUGUUGGAAUAAAAAAAACUAUGUAUUACUUCAUGUGUAUUAAUUCAACAAGAAAACGGAGUUACCUACGAUGACGCGAGGAAAUGAUGGCUUCAUUGGAAGAUGGUAGCGCUUAUCCGAUGAAAAUUACAGUCCUGGGAUGCUAACUACUGCAAAUAAGCAUCAAAUUAGACCCAGAGUUUUCAGUCUUCGCUGCAAAAUCAGGUCCCUUAAACUCGAUAUUGAACAGAUGUCAGAAAGGUGGAGGCAAAGGGGCCAUAGAGUAUCCUGGAUGUAAGGUGGUGUUGUACGUUCUUGACCUCCACGUACCUUGUGCAUUUCCUUACACUAGCAUGCUUAAUCUUGCUGCAUUUGGGUUUUCCUUUUGCAAAGACUGAAUAAAUGAUGCUUAGUUAAUUUAUACCAUGCAUGAUUGAGUUUACAGGGAAAAACAAAAAGAAUGGCAACAUCUUCGAGAGAUGGAAAUGCUCUGAUUGCCAAGAAUUCGGGCUGAAAAGUUGUCCUAUUUAUGGGCAAGGAGGGCUCACACCCGAGAAUAGAGGAGAAAGGUAGAGACUUGGUUUUUAAUGAAACAUAUUGUAUCUCAUCACAAUCUACAAAAACUACCCCUACCUAUAUUAUUAC
Hibiscus syriacus is the source of this 745-nucleotide long non-coding RNA. RefSeq lists it as uncharacterized. NCBI's taxonomy places the organism in Eukaryota, Viridiplantae, Streptophyta, Magnoliopsida, Malvales, Malvaceae. The transcript is spliced from 4 exons. The record is from RefSeq and is a predicted model, not a curated record.